This is a long non-coding RNA of Gossypium raimondii (Peruvian cotton), 1031 nucleotides long. RefSeq lists it as uncharacterized. The record is from RefSeq and is a predicted model, not a curated record. The transcript has 4 exons. NCBI's taxonomy places the organism in Eukaryota, Viridiplantae, Streptophyta, Magnoliopsida, Malvales, Malvaceae.
GCAAGCAUAGUAACAUAAUUGGUGAGGGACUGAGGGCAAAACAAAGCAACGCACCUCAAUCCUAUAAUACAAUAAUGCAGCGUGGGGAAAGAGGAAAUGAUUUCUGAGAUCUGGCUGCCAUUUUGCAUAUCUAAUUAGUGGUUCUUGGUCAAGAAAGGCCGUGUUUUAACCCCUCAUGCUGAUUAUUGUGUUCCUGGGAUUACUCGAGCAACUAUUAUGGAGCUUGUUGUAAAGGAAAAAUUUGAGCUAGUGGAACGAAGAAUUAGCUUAUCUGAGUUCCAUGCAGCAGAUGAGGAACAUGGCCACAAUAAAAAUAGGAACAUGGCCUUAAUAAAAACAGGAACAUGGCCUUCAUUUGUCCAACCAGCCUGAAGCUAAAAGAAAAAGGGUGUUUGAUUUGUUGGUUUUUAGUGGCAUAACAGAACAUGGCCUUAAUAGUGUUGAAAAUGUGGAAAUUUGAGUCAACAUAUUGCUAUGCCGCCCCCACUUGAGCAAUAAAAUUUUAUUGCUGCUGUAGUAGUUUGUAUUGAUGAUCUUUUUCCAGUUUCAUGUUGUCCCUGAAUUGUUCUCAAGUCAUAGUAGCGUUGUCAAUAUAUGCAUUAUUCUGAACACAUCAUUGAAAUGUAAAACCAUUACUUGUGUAAUAGUUACAUAAGUCAUAUAUUAUUAUUCUGAACAGUCACUGUUGUUCCAGUAAAUUGAUGUUCUAUGUGGAAUUUUGUAGGUAUUGGACCGUUAGCUACCGAUUUGCUCUAGACAUAAAUCGUUGGCAAGCUGAAGCUGUAGUUGCAAUUCAAGAGGUUUGGUAACUUAUCCAACCUUCUAAACUAAAGAAAAAUUGUAAGACUUCAAAAUCAAAUACAGAGAAACACAAUAAAACACAUACAUGCUGAUUUUUUGCAUAUGGUUGUGGAUGUGUUUGGUCUGUUGUAAAUCAUGCUUCCUGGCCUUCAUAUUAUCAUGAAUGCAUACGUUAGAUUGCUAAUGUUCACAUGCAAGUUAUUUUACCCUUAUUAUCAUGUAUGAAUCGG